Molecule: long non-coding RNA, 695 nt
Organism: Daucus carota subsp. sativus
Lineage: Eukaryota; Viridiplantae; Streptophyta; Magnoliopsida; Apiales; Apiaceae
Exons: 3
Source: RefSeq, a predicted model, not a curated record
UCAUUCUAAAACAUGUCAUUUGAAAUAAAAAACUAAACGCACACUCCAGCUCCUCCUUCCCGAUCUCACUCUACUGCUCACUCCUCUUUACCCCUGCUUUCACGCUGCUGCUCGCUCCGGCCAUCCUUCCGUCUCCGAAGGCACCUGAAUAUUUGAUGACAACAGCUGGAUUCUUGAUCCUUUGAGAUAGUCAUAGCAAGGGUGCAGUGGGUAACAGCUUGGUCAAUAACAAGCCGCAACAUAGCCAGUAGUUCCCUCCCAUUUUUGACAAAUUUGGCAGAAGCUUUGGGGUGGCCGUUAAACCGGUACCAGACCUUGGCACUUUUGAUAUUCUCCUCUUUUCUUGCGCUUGAUCUCUGGUUUUGGGAGCUCUUUUUCGGUACCUCUGUGAAUUGGCUUUCAAAUAUCAGCUCAGAAAUUGUUCAAUAUGUUGAUAGUGCUAGGUGAUUGACAAUUACAGCUUGUCCAUGUUUGUAGCGAAAUUGAUGCAAAGCCUUGUAAAUGUUACACAGUCAGGUCUUAUCCAAGCAGGAGAAGUGCUUCAUUCUAAUGUAAUUUAGUGAUAUAUAUAUGAAACCACAAUUUGUUAUCAUUACUUUAAUUUAUUUGUAAGAGUAAUAAUAUUGGUAUCCAGCAUAAAAUCUGAAAUAGUUGCAUUGAGGACAAUAAGAUUAUAUUAUUGGUUUCAAUUCAAA